RNAcentral lists this ribosomal RNA (774 nucleotides) under uncultured Neocallimastigales. RNAcentral's name for it is "partial large subunit ribosomal RNA". It matches the Rfam family "Eukaryotic large subunit ribosomal RNA", at positions 20 to 616 of the family's 3401-position model. The record is from RNAcentral. Lineage: Eukaryota; Fungi; Neocallimastigomycota; Neocallimastigomycetes; Neocallimastigales.
UACUAGAGUAGCACUCGCAUAUCAAUAAGCGGAGGAAAAGAAACUAACAAGGAUUCCCCUAGUAACGGCGAGUGAAGCGGGAAGAGCUCAAAUUUGAAAUCUUAAAGGGUUUCCCUUUACGAAUUGUAGUUUAAAGAAGUGUUUUCUGUUGAGGUUUUGGUAAAAGUUCUUUGGAAUAGGACAUCAUAGAGGGUGAGAAUCCCGUAUUUGACCUUUACUUUCAACUUUGUGAUACACUUUCAAAGAGUCGGAUUGUUUGGGAAUGCAGUCCAAAAUGGGUGGUAAAUUUCAUCUAAAGCUAAAUAUUGGCGAGAGACCGAUAGCGAACAAGUACCGUGAGGGAAAGAUGAAAAGAACUUUGAAAAGAGAGUUAAACAGUACGUGAGAUUGUCAAAAGGGAAGCGUUUGACACCAGUGUUGUUUUUCUGAAAAUUAAUUAAAGAACUGUUUAUGCUAAGCUGUUUAGACUUUAUCAGCUAUCUGUUUAGUUUUGAGCUUUUCUUUAAUGCACUUUUCAGUUAACAAGUCAACAUCAAUUUCUUUUGCUGUAAAAAAGCUUGAGGAAGGUGGCUUGAGAUUCGUCUUAAGUGUUUAUAGCCUCUUGCCUAUGCAGUCGGAGAGAUUGAGGUCUGCAGCGUAGAUCCUUCGGGGCUAAAUGCAUUUGUGCUAAGUUAUAGCAUUUUAUAGACAACUUGUUGACUAUGAUUUGUCUUGUAGCUUACUCGCUUAUGUUAUUUUACCUACGCUUAGGAUGUUGAGCGCAUGUCUCUCUCU